RNAcentral lists this ribosomal RNA (815 nucleotides) under uncultured bacterium. Its description in RNAcentral is "bacterial SSU rRNA". It matches the Rfam family "Bacterial small subunit ribosomal RNA", at positions 51 to 916 of the family's 1533-position model. The record is from RNAcentral.
ACACAUGCAAGUCGAACGCAGUAGCAAUACUGAGUGGCAGACGGGUGAGUAACAUGUGGGAAUCUGCCUUGUGGUUCAGGACAACAUUGGGAAACCGAUGCUAAUACUGGAUAAGCCCUUACGGGGAAAGUUUUAAUGCCAUAAGAUGAGCCCGCAUUUGAUUAGUUAGUUGGUGAGGUAAUGGCUCACCAAGACAAUGAUCAAUAGCUGAUCUGAGAGGAUGAUCAGCCACACUGGGACUGAGACACGGCCCAGACUCCUACGGGAGGCAGCAGUGGGGAAUCUUGCACAAUGGAGGAAACUCUGAUGCAGCGAUGCCGCGUGAGUGAAGAAGGCCUUUGGGUUGUAAAGCUCUUUUGUAGGGGAAGAUAAUGACUGUACCCUAAGAAUAAGGUCCGGCUAACUUCGUGCCAGCAGCCGCGGUAAUACGAAGGGACCUAGCGUAGUUCGGAAUUACUGGGCGUAAAGCGCGCGUAGGCCGUUGAGUUAGCUAAUUGUGAAAUCCCAAAGCUUAACUUUGGAACUGCAAUUAAAACUGCUCGACUAGAGUUUGAUAGAGGAAAGCGGAAUACAUAGUGUAGAGGUGAAAUUCGUAGAUAUUAUGUAGAACACCAGUUGCGAAGGCGGCUUUCUGGAUCAACACUGACGCUGAGGUGCGAAAGUAUGGGUAGCAAAGAGGAUUAGAUACCCUCGUAGUCCAUACCAUAAACGAUGAUUGCUAGAUGUUGGAAAUUUAUUUUCAGUAUCGCAGCUAACGCAUUAAGCAAUCCGCCUGGGGAGUACGACCGCAAGGUUAAACUCAAAUGAAUUGACGG